UUUAUUACAAUAUAUCAGCCAUAUUUGCUUUUAGGACAUAUAUCUAACACUUCCCAAUGCGAAAUACUCUACACUAGAAAGUGGGGGGUAAAGUGUUAUACCUUAUUUGGUCCUUUGCCAACAUAUUCGAUUUUCAAAGGCUUGGCGGAUACAUGGCAUCAUGACCUGGUGGUUCAAGGCACGUGAUCUGAGCAACCUUAUGUGACCCGAACGGUGUCCCAGACAUCUGCACCUAGCCGAUCACCGCACGAGAUCGGUAACGCGGCGAUGCUUAUGUCAUCGGAUUUCUACCAAUCCCAUAUCACUUCCAUCUGGGCUCCCCAUAAGCCGUCUUUCAAAUCGGAUGCUCUCAAAAGCACCCAACCAAUGAAUCUCACUGGGUUGGCAUCCUGCUGUAUAGACUCAUGAUACCUUCAGAUGUGGGUGGCAGGCUCCGUGGUAGCUUGCUGAUACCCACUUUUCUGAUUUUGAUAGCCAUUACUCUGACUUUAGAGAUAUCCACUAUGGCUCUGACAAUUAUGACCCUAAUACUUAUGGGUGCUAAUGGCUUGGUAGGCUCUCUCCCACAAAAGAGGAAGAGGGAGGAAAAGAUGGGAGGGAUAAUUUUCUUUUUUUUUUCCCACUGCAUUUGGAGGCUCUAUUAUUCUCAUCUUAUUCUCUCUUCUCGACUACCGCUGGCUUAACUGUUGAGGGUGCCCGUCUUGUUUUCCAGUGCAACAGUUAAUGUUUAGAAAAAAUAAAAUAUUAGUUUCAGGAAGCUGCCGGCUGAGCCCGGUGAGCCUAGAAUAAUCAAAAGCUGACCGUGGGUGAGAGGAGAGCACAGAGUGAGAGAUGGGGAAGCGCGGGAAGAAGCUGUCGGAGCGACAAAAGCCUCGAUGCUUCCCUCUCGCCGGCGACGACGAA
This 903-nucleotide long non-coding RNA is filed under the name Elaeis guineensis (African oil palm). Its description in RNAcentral is "long non-coding RNA (EGUI_LNC079177)". Lineage: Eukaryota; Viridiplantae; Streptophyta; Magnoliopsida; Arecales; Arecaceae. The record is from RNAcentral.